This 50-nucleotide ribosomal RNA is filed under the name Myrothecium inundatum. RNAcentral's name for it is "partial 18S ribosomal RNA". The record is from RNAcentral. Lineage: Eukaryota; Fungi; Ascomycota; Sordariomycetes; Hypocreales; Stachybotryaceae.
GCUUAAACUCCCAAACCCUUUGUGAACCUUACCUAUCGUUGCUUCGGCGG